RNAcentral lists this ribosomal RNA (253 nucleotides) under uncultured bacterium. Its description in RNAcentral is "partial 16S ribosomal RNA". It matches the Rfam family "Bacterial small subunit ribosomal RNA", at positions 524 to 776 of the family's 1533-position model. The record is from RNAcentral.
UACAGAGGUCCCAAGCGUUGCCCGGAUUCACUGGGCGUAAAGCGGGUGUAGGCGGUUCUUUAAGUCAGAUGUGAAAUCCUGCGGCUCAACCGCGGAACUGCAUCUGAUACUGGGGAACUUGAGGACGGUAGAGGUCGGUGGAAUCCCCGGUGUACCGGUGAAAUGGGCAGAUAUCGGGGGGAACACCAGUGGCGAAGGCGGCCGACUGGGCCGAUCCUGACGCUGAGACCCGAAAGCCAGGGUAGCGAACCGG